RNAcentral lists this ribosomal RNA (496 nucleotides) under uncultured bacterium. RNAcentral describes it as "bacterial SSU rRNA". It matches the Rfam family "Bacterial small subunit ribosomal RNA", at positions 903 to 1397 of the family's 1533-position model. The record is from RNAcentral.
AAAUGAAUAGACGGGGGCCCUUCCCCUCUUCUUCUCCUUUUUUUUCCUUCUCUUGUCCGCGAGGAACCUUACCUGGGUUCGAACGUAUGAGCGAUGCCGCUGAAAGGUUGCAGGCCUGCGAAGGAGUUCAUACGAGGUGCUGCAUGGUUGUCGUCAGCUCGUGCCGUGAGGUGUUUGGUUAAGUCCAGCAACGAGCGCAACCCCUACCUUUAGUUGCCAUCAGGUAAAGCUGGGGACACUAGAGGGACUGCCUGCGCAAGCAGUGAGGAAGGUGGGGAUGACGUCAAAUCAGCACGGCCCUUAUGUCCAGGGCUACACACGUGCUACAAUGGUAACUACAGAGGGCAGCGACUAGGCGACUAGGAGCGAAUCUCGAAAAGUUAUCGUAGUUCGGAUUGGAGUCUGCAACUCGACUCCAUGAAGAUGGAUUCGCUAGUAAUCGCGCAUCAGCAAUGGCGCGGUGAAUACGUUCCCGGGCCUUGUACACACCGCCCGU